UACGUAGGGUGCGAGCGUUAUUCGGAAUUACUGGGCGUAAAGCGUGCGCAGGCGGUUUUGUAAGCCAGAUGUGAAAUCCCCGGGCUUAACCUGGGAAUGGCAUUUGGGACUGCAAGGCUCGAGUGUGGCAGAGGGAUCUGGAAUUCCUGGUGUAGCAGUGAAAUGCGCAGAUAUCAGGAAGAACACCCGUGGCGAAAGCGGCUCUCUGGAACGGUACUGACGCUGAGACGCGAAAGCGUGGGGAGCGAACAGG
RNAcentral lists this ribosomal RNA (253 nucleotides) under uncultured bacterium. RNAcentral describes it as "partial 16S ribosomal RNA". It matches the Rfam family "Bacterial small subunit ribosomal RNA", at positions 524 to 776 of the family's 1533-position model. The record is from RNAcentral.